RNAcentral lists this ribosomal RNA (879 nucleotides) under uncultured bacterium. RNAcentral describes it as "bacterial SSU rRNA". It matches the Rfam family "Bacterial small subunit ribosomal RNA", at positions 622 to 1499 of the family's 1533-position model. The record is from RNAcentral.
UGCGCUUGUGACUGCAAGGCUAGAGUACGGCAGAGCGCGGUGGAAUUCCACGUGUAGCAGUGAAAUGCGUAGAGAUGUUUUGGAACACCGAUGGCGAAGGCAGGGCCCUGGGCCGAUACUGACGCUCAUGCACGAAAGCGUGGGUAGCAAACAGGAUUAGAUACCCUGGUAGUCCACGCCCUAAACGAUGUCAACUAGGUGUUGGGUGGGUAAAACCAUUUAGUACCGUAGCUAACGCGUGAAGUUGACCGCCUCCGGAGUACGGCCGCAAGGUUAAAACUCAAAGGAAUUGACCCGGACCCGCACAAGCGGUGGAUGAUGUGGAUUAAUUCGAUGCAACCCGAAAAACCUUUUCUACCCUUGACAUGUCCGGAAGCCUGAAGAGAUUUCCCUGUGCCCGUCUGGGAACCGGAACACAGGUGCUGCAUGGCUGUCGUCAGCUCGUGUCGUGAGAUGUUGCGUUAAGUCCCCCAACGAGCGCAACCCUUGUCGUUAAUUGCCAUCAUUUAGUUGGGCACUUUAACGAGACUGCCGGUGAUAAACCGGAGGAAGGUGGGGAUGACGUCAAGUCCUCAUGGCCCUUAUGGGUAGGGCUUCACACGUCAUACAAUGGUCGGUACAGAGGGUUGCCAAGCCGCGAGGUGGAGCCAAUCCCAGAAAGCCGAUCGUAGUCCGGAUCGCAGGCUGCAACUCGCCUGCGUGAAGUCGGAAUGCCUAAAUCGUGCGGAUCAGCAUGUCGCGGUGAAUACGUUCCCGGGUCUUGUACACACCGCCCGUCACACCAUGGGAGCGGUUUCCGCCAGAAGUAGGUAGCCUAACCGCGCCGGAAGCGCUUACACGGCCGGGUGACUGGGUUCGGGUGAAGUCGUAACAAGGUAA